GCGGGCAUAGUUUAGUGGUAAAACCCUAGCCUUCCAAGCUAGUGAUGCGGGUUCGAUUCCCGCUGCCCGCU
RNAcentral lists this transfer RNA (71 nucleotides) under Cyanidioschyzon merolae. RNAcentral describes it as "tRNA-Gly". It matches the Rfam family "tRNA". Rfam says of the family: Transfer RNA (tRNA) molecules are approximately 80 nucleotides in length. The record is from RNAcentral. RNAcentral also lists the same sequence under 1 other name. Lineage: Eukaryota; Rhodophyta; Bangiophyceae; Cyanidiales; Cyanidiaceae.